Molecule: ribosomal RNA, 136 nt
Filed under: uncultured bacterium
Lineage: Bacteria
Description: partial 16S ribosomal RNA
Rfam family: Bacterial small subunit ribosomal RNA
Source: RNAcentral
UGGGGAAUAUUGGACAAUGGGGGCAACCCUGAUCCAGCAAUGCCGCGUGUGUGAAGAAGGCCUGAGGGUUGUAAAGCACUUUCGGCGGGGACGAUGAUGACGGUACCCGCAGAAGAAGCCCCGGCUAACUUCGUGC